GACGAACGCUGGCGGCGUGCUUAACACAUGCAAGUCGAACGAUGAAGCCGGAGCUUGCUCUGGUGAAUUAGUGGCGAACGGGUGAGUAACACGUGAGUAACCUGCCCUUGACUCUGGGGUAACUGCGGGAAACUGUAGCUAAUACCGGAUACGACCCUCGGAGGCAUCUCCUGGGGGGGGAAAGAAUUUCGGCCAAGGAUGGACUCGCGGCCUAUCAGCUAGUUGGUGAGGUAAAGGCUCACCAAGGCGACGCACGGUAGCGGGCCUGAGAGGGUCACCGGCGACACUGGGACAGAGAUACGGCCCAGACUCCUACGGGAGGCAGCAGUGGGGAAUAUUGCACAAUGGGCGCAAGCCUGAUUCAGCAACGCCGCGUGAGGGAUGACGGCCUUCGGGUUGUAAACCUCUUUUAGCAGGGAAGAAGCGAAAGUGACGGUACCUGCAGAAAAAGCACCGGCUAACUACGUGCCAGCCGCCGCGGUAA
RNAcentral lists this ribosomal RNA (484 nucleotides) under uncultured bacterium. RNAcentral's name for it is "partial 16S ribosomal RNA". It matches the Rfam family "Bacterial small subunit ribosomal RNA", at positions 28 to 523 of the family's 1533-position model. The record is from RNAcentral.